Molecule: ribosomal RNA, 497 nt
Filed under: uncultured bacterium
Lineage: Bacteria
Description: partial 16S ribosomal RNA
Rfam family: Bacterial small subunit ribosomal RNA
Source: RNAcentral
GACGAACGCUGGCGGCGUGCCUAAUACAUGCAAGUUGAGCGAUGAAGAUUGGUGCUUGCACCAAUUUGAAGAGCAGCGAACGGGUGAGUAACGCGUGGGGAAUCUGCCUUUGAGCGGGGGACAACAUUUGGAAACGAAUGCUAAUACCGCAUAAUAACUUUAAACAUAAGUUUUAAGUUUGAAAGAUGCAAUUGCAUCACUCAAAGAUGAUCCCGCGUUGUAUUAGCUAGUUGGUGAGGUAAAGGCUCACCAAGGCGAUGAUACAUAGCCGACCUGAGAGGGUGGUCGGCCACAUUGGGACUGAGACACGGCCCAAACUCCUACGGGAGGCAGCAGGAGGGAAUCUUCGGCAAUGGACGAAAGUCUGACCGAGCAACGCCGCGUGAGGGAAGAAGGUUUUCGGAUCGUAAAACUCUGUUGGUAGGGAAGAACGUUGGUGAGAGUGGAAAGCUCAUCAAGUGACGGUAACUACCCAGAAAGGGACGGCUAACUACGUG